This 273-nucleotide ribosomal RNA is filed under the name uncultured bacterium. Its description in RNAcentral is "partial 16S ribosomal RNA". It matches the Rfam family "Bacterial small subunit ribosomal RNA", at positions 524 to 796 of the family's 1533-position model. The record is from RNAcentral.
GACGAACCGUGCGAACGUUGUUCGGAAUCACUGGGCUUAAAGGGCGCGUAGGCGGCUAACCAAGUCCGGGGUGAAAUCCUGCAGCUUAACUGUAGAAGUGCCUUGGAUACUGGUCGGCUCGAGGGAAGUAGGGGUCUGUGGAACUGCUGGUGGAGCGGUGAAAUGCGUUGAUAUCAGCAGGAACGCCGGUGGCGAAAGCGACGGACUGGACUUCUUCUGACGCUGAGGCGCGAAAGCUAGGGGAGCAAACGGGAUUAGAAACCCCAGUAGUCC